CAUUUCUUGCCUGAAGCAAUAUGAUUGCACAACUGGAACAAACUUCUAAAGGCUCAUCCCAGGACAGAGAACAGGAAAUCAGCGAAGAAGUCUCUCUCUACUUGACUUUCUUCCUCCAAAAUUUUCAGAAAUAAAGCAGCACCUCACAAAGAAACAUAAAUAAUCC
This is a long non-coding RNA of Gavia stellata (red-throated loon), 166 nucleotides long. RefSeq lists it as uncharacterized. Lineage: Eukaryota; Metazoa; Chordata; Aves; Gaviiformes; Gaviidae. The transcript is spliced from 3 exons. The record is from RefSeq and is a predicted model, not a curated record.